RNAcentral lists this ribosomal RNA (426 nucleotides) under uncultured Sphingobacteriales bacterium. Its description in RNAcentral is "bacterial SSU rRNA". It matches the Rfam family "Bacterial small subunit ribosomal RNA", at positions 952 to 1382 of the family's 1533-position model. Lineage: Bacteria; Pseudomonadati; Bacteroidota; Sphingobacteriia; Sphingobacteriales. The record is from RNAcentral.
CGAUGAUACGCGAGGAACCUUACCUGGCUCAAAUGUAUGUUGACGUUAUCUGAAAGGGAUACUUCUUCGGACAAUAUACAAGGUGCUGCAUGGUUGUCGUCAGCUCGUGCCGUGAGGUGUCGGGUUAAGUCCCAUAACGAGCGCAACCCUAUCAUUAGUUGCCAUCAGGUCAAGCUGGGGACUCUAAUGAAACUGCCUACGCAAGUAGUGAGGAAGGUGGGGAUGACGUCAAAUCAGCACGGCCCUUACGUCCAGGGCUACACACGUGCUACAAUGGCCGGUACAAAGGGCAGCUACCUGGUGACAGGAUGCUAAUCUCAAAAGCCGGUCUCAGUUCGGAUCGGAGUCUGCAACCCGACUCCGUGAAGCUGGAAUCGCUAGUAAUCGCGCAUCAGCCAUGGCGCGGUGAAUACGUUCCCGGGCCUU